Small nuclear RNA from Chiloscyllium plagiosum (whitespotted bambooshark), 163 nucleotides. RefSeq annotates it as U1 spliceosomal RNA. The record is from RefSeq and is a predicted model, not a curated record. NCBI's taxonomy places the organism in Eukaryota, Metazoa, Chordata, Chondrichthyes, Orectolobiformes, Hemiscylliidae.
GUACUUACCUGGCAAGGGAGAUACCGUUAUUAAGAGAGAGGUUCUCCCAGGAUGAGGGUAUCCCUUGUCCUUCAGGUGUGGUGACGCCUGCAAUGUCCCCAAAUGCGGGAUACUUGACUGCAAAAUUUGUGGUAGUGCUGGACUGUGUUUGCACUCUCCCCUU